RNAcentral lists this ribosomal RNA (506 nucleotides) under uncultured bacterium. RNAcentral's name for it is "partial 16S ribosomal RNA". It matches the Rfam family "Bacterial small subunit ribosomal RNA", at positions 29 to 523 of the family's 1533-position model. The record is from RNAcentral.
AGUGAACACUGGCGGUAGGCCUAACACAUGCAAGUCGAACGGCAGCACAGGAGAGCUUGCUCUCUGGGUGGCGAGUGGCGGACGGGUGAGGAAUACAUCGGAAUCUACUCUGUCAUGAGGGAUAACGUAGGGAAACUUACGCUAAUACCGCAUACGACCUACGGGUGAAAGCAGGGGACCUUCGGGCCUUGCGCGAUUGAAUGAGCCGAUGUCGGAUUAGCUAGUUGGCGGGGUAAAGGCCCACCAAGGCGACGAUCCGUAGCUGGUCUGAGAGGAUGAUCAGCCACACUGGAACUGAGACACGGUCCAGACUCCUACGGGAGGCAGCAGUGGGGAAUAUUGGACAAUGGGCGCAAGCCUGAUCCAGCCAUACCGCGUGGGUGAAGAAGGCCUUCGGGUUGUAAAGCCCUUUUGUUGGGAAAGAAAUCCAGCUGGCUAAUACCCGGUUGGGAUGACGGUACCCAAAGAAUAAGCACCGGCUAACUUCGUGCCAGCAGCCGCCGUAA